This is a long non-coding RNA of Photinus pyralis (common eastern firefly), 925 nucleotides long. RefSeq lists it as uncharacterized. NCBI's taxonomy places the organism in Eukaryota, Metazoa, Arthropoda, Insecta, Coleoptera, Lampyridae. The transcript is spliced from 3 exons. The record is from RefSeq and is a predicted model, not a curated record.
AACGUUUAACUAAAGCUCCCAAAAAAACACCCUGUGUAAUCUCAAAAAUCAAAGUGGCAACAAAUCUCAUAAUCCAGCUCGAAUUUUCUGAAGAUCAAUAAUCUCAUUGCUAUAAUUAUAACAGUCGAGCACGUAACCAAGGUUUUUUUGCUCACGAACGACCUUGCAUCACAAAGCAAGGUCAGUCCUUAAUUACGUAAGCGAGAAACCCCAGGCCACGAACUUGCACCAUAAACAAGGUCACUCCUUAGUUCCUUAGGCCUCUGGUCUUCUCUCCCUCUAAUGUAUUUACCGAGGUAGGUAUUUACGUAACAACGUAACCGUCCUAUUAUUGUAACUGCUCAAGUACCUAUUUUGAUCAUGAUCAAAUGAUUAGUAUUAUCACUUGUUUUCCAUUGUUUGGGUAUAUCUAAUCUACAGUAACAGGUAACGUCUUAUCCAAAUAGGUAUAAAUAUCCAGAACUUCAUUUUCAUUUUUAUACUACGUAUAAGUGUAUACCUAUCUACUUAAAACCAUGCAUUUUAAAGUGUUCAUCCUGCUAGCUGCUGUGUUCGUAUACUAUGUUCAUUCUGCACCGGGGCGAUGCUGGAGCUGUAAUAGCCAAGAGAGAAGUUGUACACACUAUCAAGCAGGGAAUGGCAACUAUUCUGUCGCUUGUAUUAGGGAUGGUCAAGCAUGUAUUUCGUAUAUAGAUUUAAGCACUGGAAAUACCGUUAGGGAUUGUACAAAGGAGCAGUGUGCAGAUUCAUCUACCGUAUCUCGCUGUAACAGAUGUGAUACAAUGAAAUGUAACGGGGAUGCGUUACCUUAAAAUAUAUCUACCUAUUAGUUAGAUUUUCAAUUUUAAUGCUGAGACUACAAUAGAAAUUUGUUCUGAAAUUUGAAAUUUUAUUGUUAUAUACCUAUAACUGCUUGUAAUAUAUA